AAAUUGAAGAGUUUGAUCAUGGCUCAGAUUGAACGCUGGCGGCAGGCCUAACACAUGCAAGUCGAGCGGUAACAGGAAGGAAGCUUGCUUUCUUUGCUGACGAGCGGCGGACGGGUGAGUAAUGCCUGGGAAAUUGCCCUGAUGUGGGGGAUAACCAUUGGAAACGAUGGCUAAUACCGCAUGAUGCCUACGGGCCAAAGAGGGGGACCUUCGGGCCUCUCGCGUCAGGAUAUGCCCAGGUGGGAUUAGCUAGUUGGUGAGGUAAUGGCUCACCAAGGCGACGAUCCCUAGCUGG
RNAcentral lists this ribosomal RNA (295 nucleotides) under Vibrio sp. V33_P6A3T137. Its description in RNAcentral is "partial 16S ribosomal RNA". It matches the Rfam family "Bacterial small subunit ribosomal RNA", at positions 1 to 290 of the family's 1533-position model. Lineage: Bacteria; Pseudomonadati; Pseudomonadota; Gammaproteobacteria; Vibrionales; Vibrionaceae. The record is from RNAcentral.